This 370-nucleotide ribosomal RNA is filed under the name uncultured bacterium. RNAcentral's name for it is "bacterial SSU rRNA". It matches the Rfam family "Bacterial small subunit ribosomal RNA", at positions 527 to 896 of the family's 1533-position model. The record is from RNAcentral.
GAAGGGGGCGAGCGUUGUUCGGAUUUACUGGGCGUAAAGGGCGCGCAGGCGGUGUGCCAAGUCAGGCGUGAAAGCCCCGGGCUCAACCUGGGAACUGCGUCUGGGACUGACACACUAGAGAUCGGGAGAGGAGAGUGGAAUUCCCAGUGUAGAGGUGAAAUUCGUAGAUAUUGGGAAGAACACCGGUGGCGAAGGCGGCUCUCUGGACCGAUACUGACGCUGAGGCGCGAAAGCGUGGGGAGCAAACAGGAUUAGAUACCCUGGUAGUCCACGCUGUAAACGAUGUGUGCUAGACGUUGGGGAGCCUAGCUCUUCGGUGUCGCAGCUAACGCGGUAAGCACACCGCCUGGGGAGUACGGCCGCAAGGUUA